GCUAAAAAUCUAGCUCCACCUCAACCCAUGUAACCUCUCUCCCCCUGCCCCCACAUUAAAACAUUUUAACACUUUAGUAAAGGAGAUUGAAAAACUCAUUGAAGCAAUAAAAUUAGUACCGUAAGGGAAAGAUGAAAUAUAAAUGAAAAACCUUUAAGCAAAACAAAGUAGAGCUCCACCCUCGUACCUUUUGCAUCAUGGUUCAACUAGUUCAACCAAGCAAAAAGAAUUACAGUUUGACUUCCCGAAACUAGGUGAGCUACUUCGGGGCAGCUUUAAGAGCCAACCCGUCUCUGUGACAAAAGAGUGGGAAGACCCCUAAGUAGUGGCGACAAACCAACCGAACCUAGUGAUAGCUGGUUACUCAAGAAAAGGAUCUGAGUCCAACCUAAAGUCCACCUAUUACACUAAAAAUAUCCCCGACUUUAGAGCAAUUCAAAUAAGGUACAGCCUAUUUGAAACAGGAUACAACCUCACCCGACGGGUAAAAUUACUACUCUAACCCCCAAGUGGGCCUAAAAGCAGCCAUCUUUUAAAAAGCGUCACAGCUUAAUCUUUUUCUACCCUAAAUUCCCACCCCUUAUCUCAACCCUCUACCAGUAUUGAGUAAUCCUAUAUCUUUAUAGAAAAUUUUAUGUUGAAACUAGUAACAAGAAGCAAAACCUUCUCCUAAAUGCAAGCACAAAUCAGAAAGGACAAACCACUGAUAAUUAACGCCAAUGACCACCAAUCAGCAACUUCCCAAGAAAAACCUGAUUUUUUCCCACGUUAACCUGACACUAGAGCAUUACAAGAAAGAUUUAAAGAGAAAGAAGGAACUCGGCAAACAUUAACCCCGCCUGUUUACCAAAAACAUCGCCUCUUGAAUUAAAAAUAAGAGGUCCAGCCUGCCCAGUGACCAAUGUUCAACGGCCGCGGUAUCCUAACCGUGCGAAGGUAGCGUAAUCACUUGUUCUUUAAAUGUGGACUAGUAUGAACGGCAUCACGAGGGUUAUACUGUCUCCUUUCUCUAAUCAGUGAAACUAAUCUCCCCGUGAAGAAGCGGGGAUAAAACUAUAAGACGAGAAGACCCUAUGGAGCUUUAAAGUUCUUUUCAAACGCCAAACCUCUUCCAAGUCACAGACUCCUGCACGAAACCACGCGCCAUGAAGACAACUUUUAGGUUGGGGUGACCAUGGAGUAUAAAACAACCUCCACGCUGAACAGGCCUCUAAACCUUGAGCCAAGGACCACAGCCCGCCGCACUAAAAAAUUAACACACAUUGAUCCAAUGAAUUUUGAUCAACGAACCAAGUUACCCUAGGGAUAACAGCGCAAUCUACUUCAAGAGUUCCUAUCGACAAGUGGGUUUACGACCUCGAUGUUGGAUCAGGGUGUCCCAGUGGUGCAGCCGCUACUAAUGGUUCGUUUGUUCAACGAUUAAAACCCU
Molecule: ribosomal RNA, 1429 nt
Filed under: Scinax similis (Cochran's snouted treefrog)
Lineage: Eukaryota; Metazoa; Chordata; Amphibia; Anura; Hylidae
Description: partial 16S large subunit ribosomal RNA
Rfam family: Bacterial large subunit ribosomal RNA
Source: RNAcentral